GAUAUCCUGUAUGUCUCAAAGCAUUUUGUAGAACUUUAGAACAUAGCAUUUUUAUUCAAUAUGAAUUUGGAAAACAACUCCAAGAUAGCCAAGAUAUCUAUUUUUUCUAGAUAAAUAACAAAACACAGAAAACAAAAGGGAAGUGAGAAAUGGAAAAACUGACUUGGCCUCUCUUUCAGAGUGGAGCUGUGACUUGGCUUCCUGUGCCUCCUACCACCUACCUCUUUUUUAUGUUUAAACCUCUGAAACUCAGCAUUUUGGCGUCUGAGAAUGCUGUGGUCUGAAUGUCUGUGCCUCCCCAAAAUUCAUAUGCUGACAACCUACUCACCAAGGUGAGGAGAAUUGGAAGUGACUUUGGGGGGUGAUUAAGUCAUUAGGGUGGAGCCCUCUUGAAUGGGAUUAGUGUCCCUUCUGCCAUGGGAAGACUCAGCAAGAAGAUAUGAUCUUCUGCAGAAGACGCCGUGCUGGCCACUGCCCACUCCUUAACCCUGGACUUCACAGCUCCAGGUCAUGAGACCAUGAGAAAUAAAGUGUGUUGAUUAUAAGACUCGGGAUUAUGAAAUUUUCGUUACAGCAGAGCAGCCUGAAUAUGCAAAGACCAACAAUAUGCUGCAUUUUUCCUAUGAAGACUGUGGCCAGUCUUUGCUGUGAAAAAAUACUCUCUGGUAACUUUUCUGUGGGUCCUCAUCACACAAUUUGCCUCAUGUUGUACUGCGAUGAGGUCAGUGUUUUCUAAUAAUGAGAAAUUCUCCAUCUUCAAGGCCAGUAGCUAGUGCCCAGGGGCUACAGGAAGGACAUGUUGGUUUCAGCUGGUGACAGUCCCAUCCUACGGUAGCAGCUGGCUUGUCGUCUGAAGGAGCCAGGCUCAACAAAAAGAGAACUGUGAGCUCUUUGUGGGAGCCUUUGGGCUGCCCAUGGCCUAUGCUGAGCCCCACCUUUCUGACAUGAGGCCUCCCCAGGGCUCCUUAAGCUUCUAGAUUUUUCUCAGGAUUCCUCUGUGUCUGGUGUUGAAUAUGCUGAAUAUCAAUCUACAAUCAAUACAGUGUUGCCUGGAGGCACCUCUUGCUUCAAAUUUGCUUCACAAAUCUGCUGCAGUGACAGAAAGCUAAGACAGCUGCAGAAAAAGCCAACCCUGCUGAUUCCUUCAUCUUGGACUUGCAGCCUCCAGAACUGUGAGCAAAUGAACAUCUGUUGUUUAAGCCACCCAGUCUGUGGUACUGUGUUAUGGCAGCCCCAGCAAUCUAAUGCAGAGGGGAAAGUGGGUUUGGGUGCAGAAAAAAUUAUAUUUAAACAUCAAAUUGCUUCUAGAAAAAGCCAAAGUAUAAACCAUGAUAAAGGAGAGAGAAGAGAAGGAAGGGGCUUGGCAAGGAUCCGGCAGUGGAAUGGGACAGACUUUCAACACCUUGCCAUGCGAUCUUUCCCCACAAACUCCUGUGUGACCCACAUAUGAAUUCUCACUGAGAGACACAGACUGAAAGAGGCUUGGCCUGAAGAAUUUGCCAGAGGGCACAGGGAGCAUGGCUUAUUUCUUGGGAGAUGACAACAGGUCAAUUUGAUCCUACACUGUAGAAUUUUCUCCAGAUGAAAAGUGAGUUUUUGAACCUGCUAAUAGCAGCACCAUGGAAUGUUUUCAGUUAUUUUCAAUCUCCAUGUUUGACUACUUUAGACCUAGAAACAUCAGUGCUGGUUCCAGUUGGAAAGAAAUAAUGGAAGAGAGAUGUGAAGAUGCCCAGAUAGGCCAAUCUGUGGAAACUGCUCUCACCAGAGACCAGAUGACCUUCAGACUGCUAAAUCCAGUUCUCAGCCCUCAGCUUCCAUGACCUGUCAUGCACGCGUCCCUGCACAUACUGGGCUACUUCCUCUGCCCAGCACACCUGCCUCCUGGUUCCUGACCCUGUACUCCUGCUCCUCUUGCUACCUGGUGGGUCACUCUUCCUCAGCAUCUCUCACUGGCUCCCUCCCCACCUCUUCAGGUUGGAGUCCCCGGGGUUCACUCCUGGGGCCUCUUUUCUUUUCCCUCCUCAUUCUCCGCCUGGAUGAUCACAUCCUUUCCUGUUGCUUUGAAUUCCAUCUAUAUGCUGAUGACUCAUCCAUGUGUGUCUUCUGCAAGCUCACUCCCAAACUCCAGGCUCAUAUCAGUGGCGACUCUGUGCCACCAUGUAGAAGUCUAAUCAACCUCAGCAGGUCCUGAAUUGACUCUGGAUCUCCCUACUCUGCCAACCUUGCUUCCAUCCCUGGUAGCUCCAUCCUUCUGGUUACUCAGGUCAUAAACCUUUGUGUGAUGCUCGAUUCCUUCCUUCUCAUUGCCCGCUUUCAAUUCCUCAGGAAAUAUGUUGGCUCUCUUCUCAAACUAUAUUCAGCAACCAAUCACAGCUCAGCAUCUCCACUGAGCCCAUCCUCCACUGAGCCCUGGCCAUCUCUCACCUUGACA
This is a long non-coding RNA of Heterocephalus glaber (naked mole-rat), 2431 nucleotides long. The record is from Ensembl. NCBI's taxonomy places the organism in Eukaryota, Metazoa, Chordata, Mammalia, Rodentia, Bathyergidae.